Molecule: ribosomal RNA, 250 nt
Filed under: uncultured bacterium
Lineage: Bacteria
Description: partial 16S ribosomal RNA
Rfam family: Bacterial small subunit ribosomal RNA
Source: RNAcentral
UACGAAGGGUGCAAGCGUUAAUCGGAAUUACUGGGCGUAAAGCGUGCGUAGGCGGUUGUUUAAGUCUGCUGUGAAAUCCCCGGGCUCAACCUGGGAAUGGCAGUGGAUACUGGGCAGCUAGAGUGUGAUAGAGGAUGGUGGAAUUCCCGGUGUAGCGGUGAAAUGCGUAGAGAUCGGGAGGAACAUCAGUGGCGAAGGCGGCCAUCUGGAUCAACACUGACGCUGAGGCACGAAAGCGUGGGGAGCAAAC